AAGCUAAUCCAGUGGCUCGCUAUCGUUGAUAGCACCCGCCCAAGCCGUGUGAACCUGUAAUACGGCGCCGCUCCUGCGGUGGUUCAUCUCCCAAGUCUGUCUCGCAUCCGGUAGCACAGACGGUCGCCUAAACAGCGAUGGAUGC
This 145-nucleotide non-coding RNA is filed under the name Pseudomonas sp. 8Z. RNAcentral's name for it is "radC". It matches the Rfam family "radC RNA". Lineage: Bacteria; Pseudomonadati; Pseudomonadota; Gammaproteobacteria; Pseudomonadales; Pseudomonadaceae. The record is from RNAcentral.